AGUGGCGGACGGGUGAGUAAUGUCUGGGGAUCUGCCCGAUAGAGGGGGAUAACCACUGGAAACGGUGGCUAAUACCGCAUAACGUCGCAAGACCAAAGAGGGGGACCUUCGGGCCUCUCACUAUCGGAUGAACCCAGAUGGGAUUAGCUAGUAGGCGGGGUAAUGGCCCACCUAGGCGACGAUCCCUAGCUGGUCUGAGAGGAUGACCAGCCACACUGGAACUGAGACACGGUCCAGACUCCUACGGGAGGCAGCAGUGGGGAAUAUUGCACAAUGGGCGCAAGCCUGAUGCAGCCAUGCCGCGUGUAUGAAGAAGGCCUUCGGGUUGUAAAGUACUUUCAGCGGGGAGGAAGGCGAUGGGGUUAAUAACCNUGUCGAUUGACGUUACCCGCAGAAGAAGCACCGGCUAACUCCGUGCCAGCAGCCGCGGUAAUACGGAGGGUGCAAGCGUUAAUCGGAAUUACUGGGCGUAAAGCGCACGCAGGCGGUCUGUUAAGUCAGAUGUGAAAUCCCCGGGCUUAACCUGGGAACUGC
Molecule: ribosomal RNA, 534 nt
Filed under: Pantoea agglomerans
Lineage: Bacteria; Pseudomonadati; Pseudomonadota; Gammaproteobacteria; Enterobacterales; Erwiniaceae
Description: bacterial SSU rRNA
Rfam family: Bacterial small subunit ribosomal RNA
Source: RNAcentral